Acomys russatus (golden spiny mouse) is the source of this 127-nucleotide small nucleolar RNA. RefSeq annotates it as small nucleolar RNA SNORA17. The record is from RefSeq and is a predicted model, not a curated record. Lineage: Eukaryota; Metazoa; Chordata; Mammalia; Rodentia; Muridae. The transcript has a single exon.
ACCUCCCCUAGAAGCAGUGCAGGUGUGGCUGCUGUGUCCCAUGUGCACCAGUAGGUGGCAGAGAGGGGAGAGCCUAUCUCUAUGCUCAGUGCUCUGACCUGUUCUGAAAGAUUAGUAGCCUAAUACU